GUUAUGUCGUUUUCAUCUUCUCCUUUCGCACAUGUGCUCUCUGAAUUCAUCUUCUCCUUUCGGCUAUGAACUUUGAAACAAUUUUCAAAUCAAAAGUCUUCAAUCCCUUAUCCAUGCAACAUCUACUUCUCACACUGUCAAAGCUUAAGAAAUUCCAUUUUAAUCCCUUAUCUCUCUUCAAAUACUCCUCUAAUUUGGGAAUUUUUUCUCAUGUCUUUACAAGAUGAAAAACCCAAUGUUGAAUAAUACCCAUUUUAUUGAUUCAUUCUCUGUUGAUUUUGCAGGUUUGGUCAAGGCGCAUGCAGUUUAAAUUUCCCUCCAAAGGGAUAAGAUCAGAUGAAUAGGUAAAAGGUAACUUUGAAUUUCAAUUUCAGAUUCUCCCACCUUAGGGUUUAAUCGAUUUAUUCAUUUUAUAAUUGAAAUAGGGUUAGAGGUUUUGUCUAUUUAAGCAGGUAUGUAGUUUAUUGUCUCCACUGCACCAAACAAACUAUAUUAAGCAGGUAUGUAGACUUGAACUGUAUUGGAGUUUUUCGUUAAUUAUUUCUUCCAAACCCUAAUUUAAAUUUUUCUUUACCCAUCCCUUUUCAUGUCUCUCCCUCUCACUAUUUCAAAUUUCAAAUUUCCAACCAUAUUUGAUAUUUUAAUCAAUGGUUAUGGCAUGAAUAGGAAUUUUCGACACCUGCUGCAUUUUGGCAUGUUGGUUUUUGUUUUUUUCAUUUAGAUUUACACAAAUAGAUCUUUUGUUUCUUUUUUAGGAGAUUUAGAAGAAAGGAACAUGAGUGGCGGCCAUGGAGUUGUUCUUAAGAAAGGAAUAUAUUUUAUUUUUAUUUUUCAUUUUCGAUUUCUAUUUUAUAUUUUUGCCUAAUUUGUUUUUGAAUUGCAAUUUUUAUUUCUGAUUUUUGCAUUUUCCUCUCAUUUUUUCCUUUCUUCUUUCCAGGUAACUCUAGAGGUUUUUGGUUGAUGCUGUGAAGAGAAAUGGUUUAAAGGAGCUUUUGACAUCAACAAAUUGAUAAUUUCACCGCUAAAUCCGAUUCAGAUGAAGCUAAACAAAAUUUUAUUUUAUGACUUUUAUCUUCCACAAAAAGAGACACUACAAUGGAUACAUUAAGAAGGAAAAGCAAGUACAACAGUGGAAAUAGGAUCAGCAUUGUCACUGCUAGGCUCUAUACCUAUUGAAGGGUAUCCUUCGCCACAAAUGUAGAGGCCAAUAUCUCGAGUCAAAUAGGACCACAAUGAACGACAAAGAUCUUCCCCAAGAGGAUUUGAAGUCGUUGGAUUCAAGCUAAGGAUCUCCAAUCAAGCGGUGUUUAAAUAUGAGACGCAUCAUUUCUAUAUAUCUCUAGAAUACAUAGGUUAUUAUUUGUAUCAGCAUAAGUUUGUUUGGUUGGUGAGAGUUAUAUACAUCUUGAUUAAUAUUGUUUCAUCCCAAUACAUAUUGUAUGUAGUAUAAAUAUCUUUAAUAAAAAAUAUGAAAGCUUUAAUUUGUUU
Molecule: long non-coding RNA, 1488 nt
Organism: Trifolium pratense (red clover)
Lineage: Eukaryota; Viridiplantae; Streptophyta; Magnoliopsida; Fabales; Fabaceae
Exons: 4
Source: RefSeq, a predicted model, not a curated record